This 205-nucleotide unclassified non-coding RNA is filed under the name plant metagenome. RNAcentral describes it as "partial contains small subunit ribosomal RNA and internal transcribed spacer 1". The stretch from base 1 to 46 matches the Rfam family "Eukaryotic small subunit ribosomal RNA", at positions 1786 to 1831 of the family's 1831-position model. The record is from RNAcentral.
AAGUCGUAACAAGGUCUCCGUUGGUGAACCAGCGGAGGGAUCAUUACAGAGUCGUAAAAAACUCCCAAACCCAUGUGAAUUUACCUUUGUUGCCUCGGCAGGACCUACCCGGUACCUACCCUGUAGCUACCCCGUAGCCUGCCGGUGGACUAUUAAACUCUUGUUAUUUUCAAUAAAUCUGAGCGUCUUAUUAAAUAAGUCAAAA